Molecule: non-coding RNA, 114 nt
Submitted as: unclassified sequences
Source: Rfam
GAGCGUUGAAAUAAGGGAGUGUGCCGGUACGCAUUGCCUUAUGGAGCUUUCAGGAGGGGUUGUGCAAUGAAACCUCAAACCGGCGUAGGCUCAGGCCGAAAGAAAAUGCUCCGA